GACGAACGCUGGCGGCGUGCCUAAUACAUGCAAGUAGAACGCUGAAGGAGGAGCUUGCUUCUCUGGAUGAGUUGCGAACGGGUGAGUAACGCGUAGGUAACCUGCCUGGUAGCGGGGGAUAACUAUUGGAAACGAUAGCUAAUACCGCAUAAGAGUAGAUGUUGCAUGACAUUUGCUUAAAAGGUGCAAUUGCAUCACUACCAGAUGGACCUGCGUUGUAUUAGCUAGUUGGUGGGGUAACGGCUCACCAAGGCGACGAUACAUAGCCGACCUGAGAGGGUGAUCGGCCACACUGGGACUGAGACACGGCCCAGACUCCUACGGGAGGCAGCAGUAGGGAAUCUUCGGCAAGGGGCGGAAGUCUGACCGAGCAACGCCGCGUGAGUGAAGAAGGUUUUCGGAUCGUAAAGCUCGGUUGUAAGAGAAGAACGAGUGUGAGAGUGGAAAGUUCACACUGUGACGGUAUCUUACCAGAAAGGGACGGCUAACUACGUG
This 495-nucleotide ribosomal RNA is filed under the name uncultured bacterium. RNAcentral's name for it is "partial 16S ribosomal RNA". It matches the Rfam family "Bacterial small subunit ribosomal RNA", at positions 28 to 507 of the family's 1533-position model. The record is from RNAcentral.